Molecule: non-coding RNA, 1567 nt
Organism: Lactuca sativa (garden lettuce)
Lineage: Eukaryota; Viridiplantae; Streptophyta; Magnoliopsida; Asterales; Asteraceae
Source: RefSeq, a predicted model, not a curated record
UUUUUUAUUUUUAAUCAAUUGUCCUUUUAUGUAAUUUUAUAUAUUUCAAAAGUUUCCAGCUACUUUUGCCAAACAUUCAUAUAACAAAUAAAAGCUACAGCUUCCCGCUACCAGCUAUCCGCUACCAGCUAACCGCUACACGCUUCCGGCUAACAGCUACUUUUGCCAAACACGCCUUUAAUGUAUAGGUCCAUUUUAAUUUUAAUAUAAAAGUUCUAGACCAAUUGCACAGAUUAGCCAAACCUAAUGGACCAUUCGUGUAAUUUUACUCUAAGCUCAAAGAAAUCGUGCCCCAAUUGGCCAACUCCAUCACUCGUCGGCAUACAACCUAGAACAGACUCCAUAUCCGGCCACCCAACGCCGACCUCUCCGGCCACACCGGACGACUCCAUCUCUACGCCUAAGAAAUACGAUUAUCUAAACCGCCAUCGCCUCUUUGUCUCCAAUGCACCAUCACGCCGUCACCACCGCCCGUUGCUCCACUGCGUAAUCUCCCUACGCCGCCGCCCCCGUGACUCACUACUCCGCCCCAUCAUUGUCGUUCGAAUCUGGUAUCCCGCUUGCCUCAUCUUCCUCCUCAACUUGUUCCUUCUAUUUGAUUAAAGUAUUCAAUACAACAAUUUUUAAUGGCAAAAGUUGCAAAAUAUGGGUUCUUUUGUAUAUUCUUAUGAAGGGCAGGGUUAAAAGUUUUCUCUUUCGUCGAUUUCUUUACCUGCAAUAUAAUGAUAUGAUUAGGCCAAGAAUGAAGUUUUUCAAAUCCUUAAAACCUAAUUUCAAAAUCAAUCACUUCUCAUCAUCGCAAAAACCCCAACUUGACAAUGUUGGUCCAAUGGCUUCUCUCCUCAAAACCCGAUCCGUUAUCCGGUUCAAAGGCCCCGACACAAUCAAGUUCUUACAAGGCCUAUUGACGAACGAUGUCCGCAGGUUUACUGAGUCGACUCGUGACUAUGCCCCUAACCUCUCGACCCGGUCUCUAUACACCGCGAUGUUGACACUUGACACCACAAGGGAGGUUUUUGUACGAUAUGUUUCUCUACAACCCGCCCAGACCCGAUGAAAAGCUUGGCCCGAGUGGGUCCGGGUCGAGACCUGGACCCGAACCGGAUGAGGUGGAGCUUUUUGCUGAUAUUGAUUGUUCUGUGUUGGACGAGCUUCUGGAGACCCUAAAGAAAUAUCGAUUAAGGUCAAAGGUUGAUAUUGAAAAUGUGGGAGAAUCCUUCUCUUAUUGGCAACUUUAUGGUGUCGAUCUCCAUGAGAGACAAGGAAAUAGCAUCGGGUGGAAAUGGCAUAAAGAUCCCCGAUUGGAUUGUUUAGGCUUCCGAGGAAUCUUUCCCUCAAAUACAACACGUAAGUUCUCUUCUCCCAACAAUGGUUUUUUAUAGAAAAAAUUGUAAAUUUGGUCCUUUUACUUUGUCACAUUUUGAGAUUUUGAUCCUAGCUGUUUUGAAGUUCUUGGCCUAUGUAACACCCUUUCUCAAAGCUUUUAUUAUGAGUUGUGUUGUAUGUAUACUUUUGAGUAUAAGUAAAAGUAAACAUAAAGCCAACACUUGGAGGGUUUUAGCCGUUA